RNAcentral lists this signal recognition particle RNA (208 nucleotides) under Lachnospiraceae bacterium. Its description in RNAcentral is "signal recognition particle sRNA large type". It matches the Rfam family "Bacterial large signal recognition particle RNA". From Rfam's summary of the family: The signal recognition particle (SRP) is a universally conserved ribonucleoprotein involved in the co-translational targeting of proteins to membranes. The record is from RNAcentral. Lineage: Bacteria; Bacillati; Bacillota; Clostridia; Lachnospirales; Lachnospiraceae.
CCGUGCAUAUGCCUUUUGGUAGGCUCUUCUAUGGCCGGCCUUUUUUAUCAAUGUUGAAGUUUGGGUCUUGCGCAAUGGACGUCUACGAACCGUGUCAGGAUGGGAACAUAGCAGCACUAAGAAGAAUUGUCCAUGUGCCGCAAGGGUGCCUGGCGGAGUUGAUAAGAGGGUAUCGCAUAGAAGGGUCUUCCAAAAGCCGGAUGCACGG